This 443-nucleotide ribosomal RNA is filed under the name uncultured bacterium. RNAcentral describes it as "partial 16S ribosomal RNA". It matches the Rfam family "Bacterial small subunit ribosomal RNA", at positions 338 to 795 of the family's 1533-position model. The record is from RNAcentral.
CCUACGGGAGGCAGCAGUGGGGAAUAUUGGGCAAUGGGCGCAAGCCUGACCCAGCAACGCCGCGUGAAGGAAGAAGGCCCUUGGGUUGUAAACCUCUUUUAUCAAGGACGAAACAAAUGACGGUACUCGAUGAAUAAGCCACGGCUAACUACGUGCUAGCAGCAGCGGUAAUACGUAGGUGGCAAGCGUGAUACGGAUUUACUGGGUGUAAAGGGCGUGGAGGCGGGACUGCAAGUCAGAUGUGAAAACCAUGGGCUCAACCCCUGGCCUGCAUUUGAAACUGUAGUUCUUGAGUAUUGGAGGGGCAGGCGGAAUUCCGGGUGUAGCGGUGAAAGGCGUAGAUAUACGGAGGAACACCAGUGGCGAAGGCGGCCUGCUGGACAAUAACUGACGCUGAGGCGCGAAGGCGAGGGGAGCAAACGGGAUUAGAUACCCCAGUAGUC